Molecule: ribosomal RNA, 629 nt
Filed under: Curvularia sp. TMS-2011
Lineage: Eukaryota; Fungi; Ascomycota; Dothideomycetes; Pleosporales; Pleosporaceae
Description: eukaryotic LSU rRNA
Rfam family: 5.8S ribosomal RNA (bases 248-401)
Source: RNAcentral
UCUUGGUCAUUUAGAGGAAGUAAAAGUCGUAACAAGGUCUCCGUAGGUGAACCUGCGGAGGGAUCAUUACACAAUAAACAUAUGAAGGCUGCACCGCCAACAGGCGGCAAGGCUGGAGUAUUUUAUUACCCUUGUCUUUUGCGCACUUGUUGUUUCCUGGGCGGGUUCGCCCGCCUCCAGGACCACAUGAUAAACCUUUUUUAUGCAGUUGCAAUCAGCGUCAGUACAACAAAUGUAAAUCAUUUACAACUUUCAACAACGGAUCUCUUGGUUCUGGCAUCGAUGAAGAACGCAGCGAAAUGCGAUACGUAGUGUGAAUUGCAGAAUUCAGUGAAUCAUCGAAUCUUUGAACGCACAUUGCGCCCUUUGGUAUUCCAAAGGGCAUGCCUGUUCGAGCGUCAUUUGUACCCUCAAGCUUUGCUUGGUGUUGGGCGUUUUUUGUCUUUGGUUUUGUCCAAAGACUCGCCUUAAAACGAUUGGCAGCCGGCCUACUGGUUUCGCAGCGCAGCACAUUUUUGCGCUUGCAAUCAGCAAAAGAGGACGGCACUCCAUCAAGACUCUAUAUCACUUUUGACCUCGGAUCAGGUAGGGAUACCCGCUGAACUUAAGCAUAUCAAUAAGCGGAGGAA